AGUGGGAGCGGUGGCACAUGCCUGUAGUCCCAGCUACUCAAGAGGCUGAGGUGGGGGAUCGCUUGAGUCCAGGAGUUCUGGGCUGUAGUGCACUAUGCCGAUCGGGUGUCUGCACUAAGUUCGACAUCAAUAUGGUGACCUCCCGGGAGUGGGGGAACACCAGGUUGUCUAAGGAGGGGUGAACUGGCCCAGGUCGGAAAUGGAGCAGGUCAAAACUCCCGUGGUGAUCAGUAGUGGGAUCGCACCUGUGAAUAGUCACUGCACUCCAGCCUGGGCAACAUAGAGAGACCCCAUCUCU
This 298-nucleotide signal recognition particle RNA is filed under the name Aotus nancymaae (Ma's night monkey). Its description in RNAcentral is "Metazoan signal recognition particle RNA (ENSANAG00000013260.1)". It matches the Rfam family "Metazoan signal recognition particle RNA". From Rfam's summary of the family: The signal recognition particle (SRP) is a universally conserved ribonucleoprotein. It is involved in the co-translational targeting of proteins to membranes. The record is from RNAcentral. Lineage: Eukaryota; Metazoa; Chordata; Mammalia; Primates; Aotidae.